This 882-nucleotide long non-coding RNA is filed under the name Ictidomys tridecemlineatus (thirteen-lined ground squirrel). Its description in RNAcentral is "lncRNA (ENSSTOG00000032559.1)". Lineage: Eukaryota; Metazoa; Chordata; Mammalia; Rodentia; Sciuridae. The record is from RNAcentral.
CUGGGAGCCUGACACAUGGCACACAUCUGGUGGGCUCUGUGCUGCAACCGCACCCGGCAUCUGCCUUGCUGUCCUGGGCCACUUCUGCCUACAAUGUGUGGCCUCGGCUCGGGGUCUUGCUGGGAGACACAUCUGUUUCCCCUGGGGAAGACUCCAGCCCCGGGGUCCCUCACCCACUCCUUGUCCCCAGUGCCACCCUGUCAUGCUGCUCAGUAGAGCCAUGCUCCGGUGCUGCUGUGGUUGUUGAUCCUCAGAGUUGGGGAUCUGUGAAAGCAGCUGAUGUGGAUUUUUGACCUGAAGAACAGAGUAUACUUUACAACCAGAGUUCCCGGGACCUCUUGACAUGGCCUAGUGCCUGCUGGUGCUGUGUGCCCCUGGCCUGCGUCUUGGGAGAUCUACUUGAAGGUCACCUCAGAGGCCAGAGCUCUGCUGGCCUCUUGGAGGCUGGCUGUGCUGGGGCCUGCCUCUGUCCUUGCUGCGGUGUCACAUCUUGGUCCUGGUCUGUGUUCUGCCCCUGUGCUGUACCUCCGUUCUCCUCCCAGGUGAGGCUUUUCGACCUCCUCAGGAUACAGGGCAACUGUACAUCAGCCUCAUCCCUUCCGGAGCAGCUUCAGAAGGCCCACUUAGGCUCUGGGGGCGCUUGCGGAAGACCCUGCUUGGGGAGAUGCCUGGUGUUUGUGUCGCGCCCUUGGUCUGUGAAUCUGUGAUCUUUGGCUUGCAGGCAUAGCCUGUUCCCUUCUUCAGGACUGGGAGGUGUCUGUGUCUUUGCAGCUGUGGUCUGUCUCCCUGCCUGGCUUCCUCAAAGACCCCACGGCACUUUGCUGACCUCAUUUCCACAUUCCUGCAGCGUAACACGUGGAUUAAAGCCAAUUUAUUACCCCA